This 1512-nucleotide ribosomal RNA is filed under the name Lactiplantibacillus plantarum. RNAcentral's name for it is "partial 16S ribosomal RNA". It matches the Rfam family "Bacterial small subunit ribosomal RNA". Lineage: Bacteria; Bacillati; Bacillota; Bacilli; Lactobacillales; Lactobacillaceae. The record is from RNAcentral.
GCUCAGGACGAACGCUGGCGGCGUGCCUAAUACAUGCAAGUCGAACGAACUCUGGUAUUGAUUGGUGCUUGCAUCAUGAUUUACAUUUGAGUGAGUGGCGAACUGGUGAGUAACACGUGGGAAACCUGCCCAGAAGCGGGGGAUAACACCUGGAAACAGAUGCUAAUACCGCAUAACAACUUGGACCGCAUGGUCCGAGCUUGAAAGAUGGCUUCGGCUAUCACUUUUGGAUGGUCCCGCGGCGUAUUAGCUAGAUGGUGGGGUAACGGCUCACCAUGGCAAUGAUACGUAGCCGACCUGAGAGGGUAAUCGGCCACAUUGGGACUGAGACACGGCCCAAACUCCUACGGGAGGCAGCAGUAGGGAAUCUUCCACAAUGGACGAAAGUCUGAUGGAGCAACGCCGCGUGAGUGAAGAAGGGUUUCGGCUCGUAAAACUCUGUUGUUAAAGAAGAACAUAUCUGAGAGUAACUGUUCAGGUAUUGACGGUAUUUAACCAGAAAGCCACGGCUAACUACGUGCCAGCAGCCGCGGUAAUACGUAGGUGGCAAGCGUUGUCCGGAUUUAUUGGGCGUAAAGCGAGCGCAGGCGGUUUUUUAAGUCUGAUGUGAAAGCCUUCGGCUCAACCGAAGAAGUGCAUCGGAAACUGGGAAACUUGAGUGCAGAAGAGGACAGUGGAACUCCAUGUGUAGCGGUGAAAUGCGUAGAUAUAUGGAAGAACACCAGUGGCGAAGGCGGCUGUCUGGUCUGUAACUGACGCUGAGGCUCGAAAGUAUGGGUAGCAAACAGGAUUAGAUACCCUGGUAGUCCAUACCGUAAACGAUGAAUGCUAAGUGUUGGAGGGUUUCCGCCCUUCAGUGCUGCAGCUAACGCAUUAAGCAUUCCGCCUGGGGAGUACGGCCGCAAGGCUGAAACUCAAAGGAAUUGACGGGGGCCCGCACAAGCGGUGGAGCAUGUGGUUUAAUUCGAAGCUACGCGAAGAACCUUACCAGGUCUUGACAUACUAUGCAAAUCUAAGAGAUUAGACGUUCCCUUCGGGGACAUGGAUACAGGUGGUGCAUGGUUGUCGUCAGCUCGUGUCGUGAGAUGUUGGGUUAAGUCCCGCAACGAGCGCAACCCUUAUUAUCAGUUGCCAGCAUUAAGUUGGGCACUCUGGUGAGACUGCCGGUGACAAACCGGAGGAAGGUGGGGAUGACGUCAAAUCAUCAUGCCCCUUAUGACCUGGGCUACACACGUGCUACAAUGGAUGGUACAACGAGUUGCGAACUCGCGAGAGUAAGCUAAUCUCUUAAAGCCAUUCUCAGUUCGGAUUGUAGGCUGCAACUCGCCUACAUGAAGUCGGAAUCGCUAGUAAUCGCGGAUCAGCAUGCCGCGGUGAAUACGUUCCCGGGCCUUGUACACACCGCCCGUCACACCAUGAGAGUUUGUAACACCCAAAGUCGGUGGGGUAACCUUUUAGGAACCAGCCGCCUAAGGUGGGACAGAUGAUUUAGGUGAGUCGUACAGGGGGAAA